This 502-nucleotide long non-coding RNA is filed under the name Brachypodium distachyon (stiff brome). Its description in RNAcentral is "long non-coding RNA (BDIS_LNC004084)". Lineage: Eukaryota; Viridiplantae; Streptophyta; Magnoliopsida; Poales; Poaceae. The record is from RNAcentral.
UAAGACUUGUUAAAUAAUUUAAUAAAAAAAAGGCUGUGUGCAUCACUCUGAUGCAGAGGCCGGGGUUUCAACCUCCUUUUCGAAGAAAAAAAAUCAGAAUAAAAUAGUUAACGGACGUUUAAUUAUGCAUGUUGCGCUCCAGUCCUCUCCGUGCAGGUAGCAAGAUAGGGUCAGCCUGCUUAAAAAACGCAGAGGAGCCGCUUCAAAUGGUUGCUGUGCAAUAAGGGAAGCCACGACUCCGACAGUUGAAUUUGUUCUGAAUAAUAAUAAUACGAUGGAACUCCAAUUAUAAAAAAAAAAUAACACCUAGCUACCCAUCGCUCAUAUAUUUUCUUUUCUUUCAUCUUCAAAUAGAAGUAAGCGGGGAUGAUUAAUUAAACAACAUGCAAUUUAUUCGUAUUGGCGACUGGCUAGCUUGUUUCCAGGGAAGCUGCUGGUUGGAAGGCUGGCAGAGGAAUUGUCGUCCAAUUUACAAGCCAAUCUAGCAUCAUCACGACGUGGC